This 251-nucleotide ribosomal RNA is filed under the name uncultured bacterium. Its description in RNAcentral is "partial 16S ribosomal RNA". It matches the Rfam family "Bacterial small subunit ribosomal RNA", at positions 524 to 775 of the family's 1533-position model. The record is from RNAcentral.
UACGUAGGGUGCAAGCGUUAAUCGAAAUUACUGGGCGUAAAGCGUGCGCAGGCGGUUAUGUAAGACAGAUGUGAAAUCCCCGGGCUCAACCUGGGAACUGCAUUGUGACUGCAUAGCUAGAGUACGGUAGAGGGGGAUGGAAUUCCGCGUGUAGCAGUGAAAUGCGUAGAUAUGCGGAGGAACACCGAUGGCGAAGGCAAUCCCCUGGACCUGUACUGACGCUCAUGCACGAAAGCGUGGGGAGCAACAGG